This 301-nucleotide ribosomal RNA is filed under the name uncultured bacterium. Its description in RNAcentral is "partial 16S ribosomal RNA". It matches the Rfam family "Bacterial small subunit ribosomal RNA", at positions 509 to 807 of the family's 1533-position model. The record is from RNAcentral.
CAGCAGCCACGGUAAUACGUAGGGUGCGAGCGUUAAUCGGAUUUACUGGGCGUAAAGCGUGCGCAGGCGGCCCGUUAAGACAGGUGUGAAAUCCCUGGGCUCAACCUAGGAAUUGCGCUUGUGACUGGCGGGCUCGAGUACGGUAGAGGGGGGUGGAAUUCCUGGUGUAGCAGUGAAAUGCGUAGAGAUCAGGAGGAACACCGAUGGCGAAGGCAGCCCCCUGGGCCUGUACUGACGCUCAUGCACGAAAGCGUGGGGAGCAAACAGGAUUAGAUACCCGUGUAGUCCCUGUCUCUUAUAC